AGACAGCAGUCGCCGCGGUAAUACGUAGGCAGCGAGCGUUGUUCGGAAUUACUGGGCGUAAAGAGUGUGUAGGCGGUGCUCUAAGUUCGGUGUGAAAUCUCCUGGCUUAACUGGGAGGGUGCGCCGGAAACUGGAGUGCUCGAACGUGGGAGAGGAAAGCGGAAUUCCUGGUGUAGCGGUGAAAUGCGUAGAUAUCAGGAGGAACACCUGCGGUGUAGACGGCUUUCUGGACCAUUGUUGACGCUGAGACACGAAAGCGUGGGUAGCAAACAGGAUUAGAUACCCCCGUAGUCCCUGUCUCUUAUAC
Molecule: ribosomal RNA, 307 nt
Filed under: uncultured bacterium
Lineage: Bacteria
Description: partial 16S ribosomal RNA
Rfam family: Bacterial small subunit ribosomal RNA
Source: RNAcentral